GUCAGAUUGGCCGAGCGGUGUAAGGCGCCAGGUUUAAGCUCUGGUUCCCGUAAGGGAGCGUGGGUUCGAACCCCACAUCUGACA
This 84-nucleotide transfer RNA is filed under the name Schistocerca americana (American grasshopper). RNAcentral's name for it is "tRNA-Leu". It matches the Rfam family "tRNA". From Rfam's summary of the family: Transfer RNA (tRNA) molecules are approximately 80 nucleotides in length. Their secondary structure includes four short double-helical elements and three loops (D, anti-codon, and T loops). The record is from RNAcentral. Lineage: Eukaryota; Metazoa; Arthropoda; Insecta; Orthoptera; Acrididae.